UACGUAGGGUGCAAGCGUUAAUCGUAAUUACUGGGCGUAAAGCGUGCGCAGGCGGUUAUGUAAGACAGGUGUGAAAUCCCCGGGCUUAACCUGGGAACUGCAUUUGUGACUGCAUAGCUAGAGUACGGUAGAGGGGGAUGGAAUUCCGCGUGUAGCAGUGAAAUGCGUAGAUAUGCGGAGGAACACCGAUGGCGAAGGCAAUCCCCUGGACCUGUACUGACGCUCAUGCACGAAAGCGUGGGGAGCAAACAGG
This 253-nucleotide ribosomal RNA is filed under the name uncultured bacterium. RNAcentral describes it as "partial 16S ribosomal RNA". It matches the Rfam family "Bacterial small subunit ribosomal RNA", at positions 524 to 776 of the family's 1533-position model. The record is from RNAcentral.